RNAcentral lists this ribosomal RNA (451 nucleotides) under uncultured bacterium. Its description in RNAcentral is "bacterial SSU rRNA". It matches the Rfam family "Bacterial small subunit ribosomal RNA", at positions 354 to 796 of the family's 1533-position model. The record is from RNAcentral.
GUCGAGAGGCUUCGGCAAUGGGGGAAACCCUGACCGAGCGACGCCGCGUGGGCGAUGAAGGUCUUCGGAUCGUAAAGCCCUUUCAGGUGGGAAUAAAGGUGGCGGGUGAAUAAUCCGUUCACUGUGACGGUACCACCAGAAGAAGCUCCGGCUAACUCCGUGCCAGCAGCCGCGGUAAUACGGGGGGAGCAAGCGUUGUUCGGAUUCAUUGGGCGUAAAGGGCGCGUAGGUGGCCUUGUAAGUCUGACGUGAAAUGUACCGGUUCAACCGGGGCACUGUGUCGGAAACUGCUUGGCUUGAGGUCGAGGGAGGAAAGUGGAAUUCCUGGUGUAGCGGUGAAAUGCGUAGAUAUCAGGAGGAACACCCGUGGCGAAGGCGGCUUUCUAUCUCGAUUCUGACACUGAGGCGCGAAAGCUAGGGGAGCAAACGGGAUUAGAUACCCCAGUAGUCC